AGAGAACAAGUAAAAGAAUAGCUGCUAACUAAUUCUUUAAGCGGUUAAAUUCCGUUUUUCUCUU
RNAcentral lists this transfer RNA (64 nucleotides) under Chanohirata hamata. RNAcentral's name for it is "tRNA-Ser". The record is from RNAcentral. Lineage: Eukaryota; Metazoa; Arthropoda; Insecta; Hemiptera; Cicadellidae.